This is a long non-coding RNA of Electrophorus electricus (electric eel), 595 nucleotides long. RefSeq lists it as uncharacterized. The record is from RefSeq and is a predicted model, not a curated record. NCBI's taxonomy places the organism in Eukaryota, Metazoa, Chordata, Actinopteri, Gymnotiformes, Gymnotidae.
CACACACACACACACACACACACACACACACACACACACACACACCCUUCCAUGGUGUGUUAGUGCUGCAUUCUCCUCUCGCCUGUCUGGAGUCCUUUAGACUGAGCAGGACCGACCACUGAGCUUGUUUGGGGCUCAGAGACGGGCAGUAGUGCUCUGUGCACUAGUAAUCAGAAGGUUCAAGCCCCACCACUGCCAAGCUGGCACUGUUGGGCCCCUGAGCAAGAUGUGUCAGCUUUUUGUUCAUUUCAUCUCGUCGUCAUCAUUCAGUCACACCUGGUGUGUCCUGCUGUCUCCGGUGGUUUUGGUUAGAAGGUGUAUUUUGACCUGUAACCACUUCAGUCUCCCACUUCUGUAUGUGAGGCAUUUCCAAACUCCAGUGGGCCAAGACUGAGGAGAAUGAGGAGAGAGGAGUCAGAAGCUUCACAUUCCAGACUGGAACACCACAGGACAUGCCUUUAUUCCUCUGGGACGUGGAAAGGCCUGAGAGCAGUGUGUGUGGACAUGUACGGGGACUGCGUGCGUGUAUGUAAGAAGAAACAGACCUGCAGGACAGCAGCAGUGGGGAGCUGCACUGUUUACAUUUAACUCAAAU